AUGGUGGGAGUCCAGGCUUUGGCUCUGGGUUUCUGGUGGCUGCAAAGCACAGCUCGGCAGGCGGUGUGGGGGCACGGACAGCCUCCCACAUUAUUAAGUACAUGCUACCAGGUGCCUAUCCCAGGACCCCAGAGGAACAGGCAGCUGCCUCCAAGAAGUAUAAUAUGUGUGUGGAAGACUAUGAGCCUCACCUGGCUGAAAGCAUGGGGUAUAAGGACCAAAGCUGCCUGACUUCUCACAGCAUGAGAGGAAUCCAUGGUAUGAAUGGGAUCACCCAGACCUGAGGUUGAACUGGGGUGAACCAAUUCACUGGCAUCUAGACAUGUAUAUCCAGAAUCGUGUGGACACAUCUCCCAUACCUGUUUCUUGGCAUAUCAUGCAUAACCAUCUCUUCAGCUUCAUGGCGUUCAUGCUUUUUAUGUUCUGUGUAGGGAAGAUGUACCCCAGCUACCAGCCUGUGGAGACAAAACAGUAUCCUUAUAAUAAUCUGUACCUGGAAUGAGGUGAUGAUCCCAGCAAAGAACCUCAGCCGGUGGUUCACUAUGAGAUCUGA
Molecule: RNA transcript, 553 nt
Organism: Octodon degus (degu)
Lineage: Eukaryota; Metazoa; Chordata; Mammalia; Rodentia; Octodontidae
Gene name: NADH dehydrogenase [ubiquinone] 1 beta subcomplex subunit 8, mitochondrial pseudogene
Exons: 1
Source: RefSeq, a predicted model, not a curated record